This is a long non-coding RNA of Ceratotherium simum simum (southern white rhinoceros), 494 nucleotides long. RefSeq lists it as uncharacterized. The record is from RefSeq and is a predicted model, not a curated record. NCBI's taxonomy places the organism in Eukaryota, Metazoa, Chordata, Mammalia, Perissodactyla, Rhinocerotidae.
UCCCUCUUUGCCGUCGGCCCUGCCCGUAGCUCCGGCUGCUCUGACCUUAAAUAGGCCGUAGGGCGGUGGGGGAGAUGAGUUAAGAGCUGGGAAAACCCGUGUGCGGCCCUGAAGAGUCUUUGGCCGGUGUAAAGGAUGACUUCACUUUUUUCCCCAUCAGAUCGACAAUGUUGAUGUCGUUUAACACUUGCCAGUUAGUUCUGAUACACCGGCCUUGAAAGGCCCGGCCACGUUCUUGCUCGACCAUGGGAAGACAGCGAUUGAUGCCCUUUCUUUGUUGGUUCGCAGGGUAGCGGGAUCAGAGGGUACAGAAUGGAUUUUGGAGGAGGGGGUCGCUGCUGGGCCUCCAAGGGAAGCCCGUGUAGACAUCUACAACCUGCGGUCUCCUGAUCUCUGGGGUUUGCUGUCUGUAGGAAGCAGACUUAUAAUGGGCCAGGAUGAAGCUGGCAGUGCGAAAGGAUUGGUCAGGAGCCAUGAGUGCUGCAGGGCAGUAA